RNAcentral lists this long non-coding RNA (1835 nucleotides) under Sorghum bicolor (sorghum). RNAcentral's name for it is "long non-coding RNA (SBIC_LNC009126)". The record is from RNAcentral. Lineage: Eukaryota; Viridiplantae; Streptophyta; Magnoliopsida; Poales; Poaceae.
AGAAAGAGUCCUGAUUGGGCUCCAAGUCAGGGCGGGCGCCCAGGGAAGGAGGGCGGGCGCCCUGCCUCUGGCCCCGUUCGGCCUCCGCUUCCUUCCCGUGGCUUCUGGAGUCUUCUAGAUGUAAGAUAAUUGCGCGGCACGUUAAUAUCUCUAUGUAAUCCCAACGUGUGGGCCUUUCUUCUGUAUUUCCUGAUAACCCCCUGCAGAAAUAGACAAACACCAAAACUCGUGGAAUUCUGUCAGAUAAAACCCUAAGUCUAGAUGUUGAUUUCAUUUGGAUCCUUUUCUUUGUUUAUUUGAUAAUUAAAUUUGAUACUUAAGGACCGUCAACAAACUCCCCCAAGCUUACCUCUUGCUCGUCCCUGAGCAAGGAUAGACUUAGCAAUGGAUCAGAAGUUGUUGCAAUAUCUUAAAAAUUUGACGGUACACAUGCUUUUAAAUAAGAUCUCAUCUCUGAGUUAGAGUAAACUGUCAAGAACUAAAACUUACUUACUUUACCUUUCACCAUGGGACUUGUAACCGUCACUUCUGUCUUGAGUAGUUAAAAGAUAGAACAGUCUAGCCAAGUGCCAUGUCUCUUAUUCUUGAUCAGCUAUAGCUCUGGAGUUUUUGCAGAUUUUCAAAUAAAACUCAGAGAUUCCUUGUAUGACUCUCUAAAUCUCUCUUUUGUGGUAUUUCUGGAUCCUUACCAAGGCAGUGAUGGUAUAUGCCUUCUCUCAAGAUAUGUGGUAUUUGUGGCAUAAGACAUAGUGACAUUGCCUUCUUUCUCACCCUACUCUAAUAAGGCUUUAAUAUCUGGAGCUCAUAGGUGGGAGAUAAAGUAUACAUACUUACAAGACAUUUAUUGUACAGUCAAACCAUGGAUCCAGAAAAACAAGUCAAUAAGUCAAAUCAAGAUGUGCAUGUGUGGCGAAUGAAUGGUGUAUGGUGAUGAUGGUAAUAACAAUGGUGAAAGUCUAAUUCUACUUUUGCUCUUUUGAGGGGAUACAUACCUUCCUUGCUUUUUGAAACUUUAUGAGGAGAAUGAGAUGCUCUAUCUUUUCUUUUUCUUUUCUCUCAGAUGGGUAUCCUGUACCCCUAAUUCUACUGUCGGACACUUGUCCAUUUUUACCUCUCGUCUCACUCUUUUUCUUUUCUUUCAAGGUUCCGGGCACUUGACCCUUUUUAUUUCCUCAUAUAUUUUUUCUCUCCCUUUUUUUAGAGCACUCAUCUCAUGAGAUAAUAUAGCAAGUGGUAGUAACAAGAUAACUUGAGCAUUUAUUUCACAAGAAAAAACAGAAAUAUUUUUGGUUAUUCUCUCCCGGAUUAGGAGUAGAAUAUUUUUGGGUGGUUCUGGAGAUGGAAAUGAGUGGAUAUAUGUGGAUGGUACUUCCGGAGUAGAAGUAGCAUAUAUGAGUGAAUGUGCAAGUGAAAUCUUGACUUAACCACAUGACAAGCUCCUAAGGGUCUACACAGCUUGACCACACUCAAUGCUCAUAAGCAGUAAAUAGUAAAUGUGUGUCUCAAAGUCUAGCAAGCAUGUAUAUAUGGCUGUGGUAGGAAUUUAAACUUUCAUCAUACAGGAACUCAUCAUGCAAUAUUUUAAAGAUUUUUCAAAGAUAAAAUUCUCCAGAAUUCUAGCAUCUCUAGGAACAGAUAAACAGCAGCUCAACCUUCCCAUAUCAUAUCCGUUAACAACUUAGAUUUCACAUCAAGUUUUUAUCCCACAAGUUUAGAUCUAGAGCAAGCUUUAAAUUAUAACAGUUAUGUCUAAACUUGAGAGAGAACUUCAAAUUUGCAAAUUAGGCAGAGCAACUAUUCAUCAUAUCCAUGCUAGAGUUUUAUUAUUAAGAUUC